AGUGAACGCUGGCGGUAGGCCUAACACAUGCAAGUCGAACGGCAGCACAGUAAGAGCUUGCUCUUACGGGUGGCGAGUGGCGGACGGGUGAGGAAUACAUCGGAAUCUACUUUUUCGUGGGGGAUAACGUAGGGAAACUUACGCUAAUACCGCAUACGACCUACGGGUGAAAGCAGGGGAUCUUCGGACCUUGCGCGAUUGAAUGAGCCGAUGUCGGAUUAGCUAGUUGGCGGGGUAAAGGCCCACCAAGGCGACGAUCCGUAGCUGGUCUGAGAGGAUGAUCAGCCACACUGGAACUGAGACACGGUCCAGACUCCUACGGGAGGCAGCAGUGGGGAAUAUUGGACAAUGGGCGCAAGCCUGAUCCAGCCAUACCGCGUGGGUGAAGAAGGCCUGCGGGUGGUAAAGCCCUUUUGUUGGGAAAGAAAAGCAGCAGGUUAAUACCCCGCUGUUCUGACGGUACCCAAAGAAUAAGCACCGGCUAACUUCGU
This 491-nucleotide ribosomal RNA is filed under the name uncultured bacterium. RNAcentral describes it as "partial 16S ribosomal RNA". It matches the Rfam family "Bacterial small subunit ribosomal RNA", at positions 29 to 506 of the family's 1533-position model. The record is from RNAcentral.